UGAUAUCUUCUGAGUUUUGCCUAUGCAUA
This 29-nucleotide non-coding RNA is filed under the name Mus musculus (house mouse). The record is from RNAcentral. Lineage: Eukaryota; Metazoa; Chordata; Mammalia; Rodentia; Muridae.